This is a non-coding RNA of Labrus bergylta (ballan wrasse), 590 nucleotides long. NCBI's taxonomy places the organism in Eukaryota, Metazoa, Chordata, Actinopteri, Labriformes, Labridae. The record is from RefSeq and is a predicted model, not a curated record.
GCCUGUGAUGUCUGCACCGGGAGAAAACUGAAAGCCUGAGGAUCCUGAAGAAGGUGUCGCUUACGCCUCCGUCAGCUACACCAAGAAUUGUAACAGCAAAGUCAAGGCUGAUGAUGACGAUGAAGGUGAAGCUGUGACGUACAGCACUGUGAGAGUUUCCUCCCCUGGUGCUGAAGCCUCCGUUGAUCCCAGCGGCCUCUAUGCCACCAUCAACAAACCAAACAAUGGAGAGACAAACGGAUAGUUAUCAUGUCAUUAAUCUGAUAUCAUAUGUAUAUCUUAAGAGAAGAGUUUCAUACUCUCACUUGGUACUUAUUGCUUAUUCUAUUAUUUCCAUGUUAUUUUAUAUUUUAUGUAUAUAUUUGUUAGAAUGUAUUUAAAUUCCAGCAAGACUGAGAUCAUUUUGAUUGGACCACAGCACCUGACUAAGCAAGUACUGCCAUCUGCUGGUACCCUAGUAGACCACAUCAAACCUGCUGCUAAACAUCUGGGUGUCUGGUUUGACAGCAACUUAAAUUUUGAGCAGCUCACAACAAAGCUUGUACAGUCUUGUUUUUAUCAGCUCAGAAAUAUUUCUAAAAUGUUUUAGA